This 2904-nucleotide ribosomal RNA is filed under the name Escherichia coli. RNAcentral describes it as "23S ribosomal RNA". It matches the Rfam family "Bacterial large subunit ribosomal RNA". Lineage: Bacteria; Pseudomonadati; Pseudomonadota; Gammaproteobacteria; Enterobacterales; Enterobacteriaceae. The record is from RNAcentral.
GGUUAAGCGACUAAGCGUACACGGUGGAUGCCCUGGCAGUCAGAGGCGAUGAAGGACGUGCUAAUCUGCGAUAAGCGUCGGUAAGGUGAUAUGAACCGUUAUAACCGGCGAUUUCCGAAUGGGGAAACCCAGUGUGUUUCGACACACUAUCAUUAACUGAAUCCAUAGGUUAAUGAGGCGAACCGGGGGAACUGAAACAUCUAAGUACCCCGAGGAAAAGAAAUCAACCGAGAUUCCCCCAGUAGCGGCGAGCGAACGGGGAGCAGCCCAGAGCCUGAAUCAGUGUGUGUGUUAGUGGAAGCGUCUGGAAAGGCGCGCGAUACAGGGUGACAGCCCCGUACACAAAAAUGCACAUGCUGUGAGCUCGAUGAGUAGGGCGGGACACGUGGUAUCCUGUCUGAAUAUGGGGGGACCAUCCUCCAAGGCUAAAUACUCCUGACUGACCGAUAGUGAACCAGUACCGUGAGGGAAAGGCGAAAAGAACCCCGGCGAGGGGAGUGAAAAAGAACCUGAAACCGUGUACGUACAAGCAGUGGGAGCACGCUUCGGCGUGUGACUGCGUACCUUUUGUAUAAUGGGUCAGCGACUUAUAUUCUGUAGCAAGGUUAACCGAAUAGGGGAGCCGAAGGGAAACCGAGUCUUAACUGGGCGUUAAGUUGCAGGGUAUAGACCCGAAACCCGGUGAUCUAGCCAUGGGCAGGUUGAAGGUUGGGUAACACUAACUGGAGGACCGAACCGACUAAUGUUGAAAAAUUAGCGGAUGACUUGUGGCUGGGGGUGAAAGGCCAAUCAAACCGGGAGAUAGCUGGUUCUCCCCGAAAGCUAUUUAGGUAGCGCCUCGUGAAUUCAUCUCCGGGGGUAGAGCACUGUUUCGGCAAGGGGGUCAUCCCGACUUACCAACCCGAUGCAAACUGCGAAUACCGGAGAAUGUUAUCACGGGAGACACACGGCGGGUGCUAACGUCCGUCGUGAAGAGGGAAACAACCCAGACCGCCAGCUAAGGUCCCAAAGUCAUGGUUAAGUGGGAAACGAUGUGGGAAGGCCCAGACAGCCAGGAUGUUGGCUUAGAAGCAGCCAUCAUUUAAAGAAAGCGUAAUAGCUCACUGGUCGAGUCGGCCUGCGCGGAAGAUGUAACGGGGCUAAACCAUGCACCGAAGCUGCGGCAGCGACGCUGAUGCGUUGUUGGGUAGGGGAGCGUUCUGUAAGCCUGCGAAGGUGUGCUGUGAGGCAUGCUGGAGGUAUCAGAAGUGCGAAUGCUGACAUAAGUAACGAUAAAGCGGGUGAAAAGCCCGCUCGCCGGAAGACCAAGGGUUCCUGUCCAACGUUAAUCGGGGCAGGGUGAGUCGACCCCUAAGGCGAGGCCGAAAGGCGUAGUCGAUGGGAAACAGGUUAAUAUUCCUGUACUUGGUGUUACUGCGAAGGGGGGACGGAGAAGGCUAUGUUGGCCGGGCGACGGUUGUCCCGGUUUAAGCGUGUAGGCUGGUUUUCCAGGCAAAUCCGGAAAAUCAAGGCUGAGGCGUGAUGACGAGGCACUACGGUGCUGAAGCAACAAAUGCCCUGCUUCCAGGAAAAGCCUCUAAGCAUCAGGUAACAUCAAAUCGUACCCCAAACCGACACAGGUGGUCAGGUAGAGAAUACCAAGGCGCUUGAGAGAACUCGGGUGAAGGAACUAGGCAAAAUGGUGCCGUAACUUCGGGAGAAGGCACGCUGAUAUGUAGGUGAAGUCCCUCGCGGAUGGAGCUGAAAUCAGUCGAAGAUACCAGCUGGCUGCAACUGUUUAUUAAAAACACAGCACUGUGCAAACACGAAAGUGGACGUAUACGGUGUGACGCCUGCCCGGUGCCGGAAGGUUAAUUGAUGGGGUCAGCGCAAGCGAAGCUCUUGAUCGAAGCCCCGGUAAACGGCGGCCGUAACUAUAACGGUCCUAAGGUAGCGAAAUUCCUUGUCGGGUAAGUUCCGACCUGCACGAAUGGCGUAAUGAUGGCCAGGCUGUCUCCACCCGAGACUCAGUGAAAUUGAACUCGCUGUGAAGAUGCAGUGUACCCGCGGCAAGACGGAAAGACCCCGUGAACCUUUACUAUAGCUUGACACUGAACAUUGAGCCUUGAUGUGUAGGAUAGGUGGGAGGCUUGGAAGUGUGGACGCCAGUCUGCAUGGAGCCGACCUUGAAAUACCACCCUUUAAUGUUUGAUGUUCUAACGUUGACCCGUAAUCCGGGUUGCGGACAGUGUCUGGUGGGUAGUUUGACUGGGGCGGUCUCCUCCUAAAGAGUAACGGAGGAGCACGAAGGUUGGCUAAUCCUGGUCGGACAUCAGGAGGUUAGUGCAAUGGCAUAAGCCAGCUUGACUGCGAGCGUGACGGCGCGAGCAGGUGCGAAAGCAGGUCAUAGUGAUCCGGUGGUUCUGAAUGGAAGGGCCAUCGCUCAACGGAUAAAAGGUACUCCGGGGAUAACAGGCUGAUACCGCCCAAGAGUUCAUAUCGACGGCGGUGUUUGGCACCUCGAUGUCGGCUCAUCACAUCCUGGGGCUGAAGUAGGUCCCAAGGGUAUGGCUGUUCGCCAUUUAAAGUGGUACGCGAGCUGGGUUUAGAACGUCGUGAGACAGUUCGGUCCCUAUCUGCCGUGGGCGCUGGAGAACUGAGGGGGGCUGCUCCUAGUACGAGAGGACCGGAGUGGACGCAUCACUGGUGUUCGGGUUGUCAUGCCAAUGGCACUGCCCGGUAGCUAAAUGCGGAAGAGAUAAGUGCUGAAAGCAUCUAAGCACGAAACUUGCCCCGAGAUGAGUUCUCCCUGACCCUUUAAGGGUCCUGAAGGAACGUUGAAGACGACGACGUUGAUAGGCCGGGUGUGUAAGCGCAGCGAUGCGUUGAGCUAACCGGUACUAAUGAACCGUGAGGCUUAACCUU